RNAcentral lists this ribosomal RNA (941 nucleotides) under Halcampoides purpureus. RNAcentral's name for it is "partial 28S ribosomal RNA". It matches the Rfam family "Eukaryotic large subunit ribosomal RNA", at positions 39 to 790 of the family's 3401-position model. The record is from RNAcentral. Lineage: Eukaryota; Metazoa; Cnidaria; Anthozoa; Actiniaria; Halcampoididae.
CAUAUCAAUAAGCGGAGGAAAAGAAACUAACAAGGAUUCCCCUAGUAAUGGCGAAUGAAGCGGGAAUAGCUCAAAUUUGAAAUCUGCGUCGCCUGCGACGCCGAAUUGUAGUUUCGAGAAGCACUUUCUAGGCGAGUCCCGCUCCGUCCAAGUUGCUUGGAACGGCACGUCACAGAGGGUGAGAACCCCGUUUGUGGCGGAGUGGUUCGCUGACGAUGUGUUUUCGAAGAGUCGGGUUGUUCGGGAAUGCAGCCCAAAAUGGGUGGUAAACUCCAUCUAAAGCUAAAUAUUGGCACGAGACCGAUAGCGAACAAGUACCGUGAGGGAAAGGUGAAAAGCACUUUGAAAAGAGAGUUAAAAAGUACGUGAAACCGUUGAAAGGGAAACUGAUGGGGCUGGCAAUGCGUCGUGCGAGAUUCAGCCGUUGGGAUUUUCGGGCGGGCGGUUUGCGGAUCCGAAUGGACCGCGGCCGUCUGGUUCGGGCUUCCCGUCGUCGCACUUCUCGCCGGCGCGCGCCAACGUCGAUUGACGCUGGGUCUCAAUGGCACGGGCAAGGUAGGCUCCUUCUCUCGGGAAGGAGCUGUUACAGGCCCGAGCGUCAUGGCCCGGCGACGAUCGAGGAGUUUGCGGCGCGAGCCUUUUUGGCUAGGGUCCCGUCUCUCCGGCCGGCGGUCGAAUGCGGUGGACUGCGUGCAGUGCGCCGCGACUGUCGUCGGUCGCAGGGGCGGUGACUUCGUACUUCGCGCCAAGGACGUUGGCGGUCAGACGGCCUCAUUUGACCCGUCUUGAAACACGGACCAAGGAGUCUAACAUGUGCGCGAGUCCUCGAGUGAUCGAAACUCGCCGGCGUAAUGAAAGUGAAGGUGGCUUGUCCGCCGAGGUGAGAGCCCGCUCUCGGGCGGGUGCAUCAUCGACCGACCUGUCCUGCUCUCAGGAAGGUU